Molecule: ribosomal RNA, 1264 nt
Filed under: metagenome
Description: SSU rRNA
Rfam family: Eukaryotic small subunit ribosomal RNA
Source: RNAcentral
UAAACGGACCAUCGAGUAUCCAUUGGAGGGCAAGUCUGGUGCCAGCAGCUGCGGUAAUACCAGCUCCAAUAGCGUAUAUUAAAGUUGUUGCAGUUAAAAAGCUCGUAGUUGGACUUGUGUGCGCCGUCCGCGGGUGGCCUGCGCCCAAAAGGGCGUUUCGGUUCGGCCCCGGUGGCGCCUUGAAAUCUGCAGCUGGGGGGACGUUGGCCUUAACUGGUCGGCGACCGCACGCCGGCUGCUCGGUUACUGUGAGAAAAUUAGAGUGUUCAAGGCAGGCAUUGGGUGCAAUUGAAUACAUUAGCAUGGAAUAAUAAAAUAUGGCUCCUGCCGUAUUUUGUUGGUUUUGACUGGUGGGAGUAAUGAUUGAUAGGGACGGUUGGGGGUGCUAGUAUUGAGCGGCCAGAGGUGAAAUUCAUGGAUUCGCUCAAGACUAACUUAUGCGAAAGCAUUCACCAAGGACGUCCUCUUUAAUCAAGAACGAAAGUUGGGGGAUCGAAGACGAUCAGAUACCGUCGUAGUCUCAACCAUAAACUAUGUCGACUUGGGAUCGGCGGUAGUUUUUUUCAUUAAGACACUGUCGGGACCACGGGAGAAAUCAAAGUGUCUGGACUCUGGGGGAAGUAUGGUCGCAAGGCUGAAACUUGAAGGAAUUGACGGAAGGGCACCACCAGGAGUGGAGCCUGCGCUUAAUUUGACCCAACACGGGGAAACUUACCAGGUCCAGAGAUGUAGAGGAUUGACAGAUUGAAGCUCUUUCUUGAUCACUUCGGUGGUGGUGCAUGGCCGUUCUUAGUUGGUGGAGUGGUUUGUCUGGUUAAUUCCGUUAACGAACGAGACCUCAGCCUGCUAGUGUAGUCGGCUGGAUUGCCUUUGGCGAUCCGUGAUUUCGACUCCUUAGAGGGACAAUCGACGCGCAGUCGAUGGAAGUUUGAGGCAAUAACAGGUCUGUGAUGCCCUUAGAUGUUCUGGGCCGCACGCGCGCUACACUGCUGGGCUCAGCGAGUUUUACUUGGCCGAGAGGCCCGGUUAAUCUUGUGAAAUCCCAGCGUGCUUGGGCUCGCCUCCUGCAACUGGAGGCGCCAACGAGGAAUUCCUAGUAGACGCAGGUCAUCAACCUGCAUCGAUUACGUCCCUGCCCUUUGUACACACCGCCCGUCGUUCCAUAAGAGUGAGGCAUCCGGUGAAUUCUCGGGAGAGCCUGGGCGUGGCCAGCAAUGGUCUGCUCGGGUUUGAACUUGCAUAAACUUGGUGCCUAUGAUUAGGG